UGGGGAAUAUUGCACAAUGGGCGCAAGCCUGAUGCAGCGACGCCGCGUGAGGGAUGACGGCCUUCGGGUUGUAAACCUCUUUCAGCAGGGACGCAGCGCGAGUGACGGUACCUGCAGAAGAAGCACCGGCCAACUACGUGCCAGCAGCCGCGGUAAUACGUAGGGUGCGAGCGUUGUCCGGAAUUACUGGGCGUAAAGAGCUCGUAGGCGGUUUGUCGCGUCGUCUGUGAAAUUCUGCAGCUUAACUGCAGGCGUGCAGGCGAUACGGGCAGACUUGAGUACUACAGGGGAGACUGGAAUUCCUGGUGUAGCGGUGAAAUGCGCAGAUAUCAGGAGGAACACCGGUGGCGAAGGCGGGUCUCUGGGUAGUAACUGACGCUGAGGAGCGAAAGCGUGGGUAGCGAACA
This 407-nucleotide ribosomal RNA is filed under the name uncultured prokaryote. Its description in RNAcentral is "bacterial SSU rRNA". It matches the Rfam family "Bacterial small subunit ribosomal RNA", at positions 355 to 774 of the family's 1533-position model. The record is from RNAcentral.